CUUGCAAAAGCUUGUGAACUCUGUCCAGAGGAGGUAAAAAAAGCCACCAGUGUGCAGCAGAUAGAAAUGGAAGAGAGCAAAGUAAUUCUUUAUUUUAUAGGCCAGUGUUUAUGUAUUAAUGAUAUUAUUAAAGAAAUUUCUGUGAAAUUGCCUGAAAUGUAGUAGUUCUGAGAGAAUGCAAAUCAGGUUUUUUGUUUGGUUUGGUUUUUUGUUUUUUCCCCAAGUUCUUUAUCUGCAGUAAAAGAAAAGUUGCUAAUGGGUCAGUUUUGUAGAUUUUUAAAAUUUAUUUCAAAUAGAAAAAGUUAAAAAUAAACUUGAGUUUGCCUACAUAAUUUUUUAUCUUGAAAUAUUCAAAAUUAGGAGCCAGAUGACCAAGAUGCUCCAGAUGAACAUGAGUCGCCUCCACCUGAAGAUGCCCCAUUGUACCCCCAUUCACCUGGAUCUCAGUAUCAACAGAAUAACCAUGUGCAUGGACAGCCAUAUACAGGCCCAGCAGCACAUCACAUGAACAACCCUCAGAGAACUGGCCAACGAGCACAAGAAAAUUAUGAAGGCAGUGAAGAAGUAUCCCCACCUCAAACCAAGGAUCAGUGAAAUGCACAUAAUUAACUGGUUCCAUCAAGACUGUGCACCCAGGCCUUACAGUCCAACCUUUUUCUGUGUCUGGCUAAUAUUUAAAACUAGAAAAACUAUUCCUAAUCAACAUGGAGUGGAGAGUUUAUUCACUGUCUUAUCUGCAGAAAUUUGCUGUCAAUAUAUAACCCGCCUGCAGUGGAAAGUGUAUAGUGUUUUGUAAUAAAUGGCCUGAUGCUAAUGUGUAAAUGGCAAAGGUGUAUAUAGUAUAUUAAUGUUGACUGUUAAUUCUUAAGAAACUUUUUUCUUGAUGAGACUCACAGAUCUACACAAACUACAAAAGUUAAUUUUCUUGUUAUACCCACUGCACUCUGCAACCAGUGUUGCCUGCCUCAUGGCAGUUGGAUCAGCUCCUUUACAAAAAAAAAAAAAAAAAAACCAACAACGGCAACAAAACAGAGCCCAUCCAUGUCAGCCACACCAAUAGUUUCAUGUUAAUUCUUUGCCACUGGAGUCAAUUUUGCUAUGAGCAAUGUAAGGCUGGUAACCUUUAAAUUAUUUGGUUGAUGUGGAAAAUUGGUGAUGUAACACUGUUUCUAGAUUUUUUUCAUUGCCUUUUUAUUCUGAUAUUAGGUUAAUCACUUUGAAGCUAUAGUUAUGCUGUAACAUUUAGCAUGGCUUCACACCAAGUUAGUGUAGCCAAUGAGGAAAAAGUUACCAUAAUGACAGCAGUUGUCCGAGAAGUGACAGCUGUAUUACUCAGAGCUUUUACUUCUUACACCUAGAAUAUUAAAAUAUAAAACAAGGGGAGAAAUGUGACAAACAGGCUAUUUUCAGUUGCACAUAUGUUUCUUAUAUAUAAUGUUUGACAGUUCAAUCUCUGGGUGGGAUAAAGAACACUUACGUAUCAGUAAUGGGAAUUUUUAAAGAUUUAAAACAAAUAUGCAAAAAUCUGCUAUGCCAAGAUGCUGGAGCAUAAUAGAAGACUGUAUUUGGUGUGCUUGUUUUGUUUCUUUGGUAGAGUUUAUUAGGUGAAUCUUCUAAAACUUUCCUUCUGUUGGAUCCCAGUGACGUGGAAGUCAUCAGAACCCCACGGUACUUGGAGUACCUCUCUGCACCAAGAUAGCUGGCUGAUUUUCUGCUCAGUCACAAUUUUACUUGAAAGCAAGAAUUGUCCUAGCUCCUUUUCCAUUAUUCCAAAACGUUUAACGUUCAAAGCAGGGUCUCAUUAAAAAAACUACUGGUUAAUAUAAUUGAGAUAUCACAAUUUCAGAAUAAACAUUUGAUUAAAAAUAAGGAACUCCUCAAUUCAUACUGUAUUUAAAAGAGAAUUGGUAACUUGAAUGUGUGUAAUUUUUUGGAACCUGUCUAAAAACCAAAUACCCCUGCAAACAGAUACAGCCCACCCUAUUCUAUUUAAAUAUUUUGCUGUUUUAUUUUAUAGAAAUUAUUUUGCUGAAUUCACAAAUAGAACUUGAUUUAAGAAGA
Molecule: small RNA, 2061 nt
Filed under: Pongo abelii (Sumatran orangutan)
Lineage: Eukaryota; Metazoa; Chordata; Mammalia; Primates; Hominidae
Description: processed transcript
Source: RNAcentral